GCCGUCGUGGUGUAGUGGUCAGCACGCUCGACGCGUAACCGAGAGGUCCGUGGUUCGACUCCCGGCGAAGGCG
Molecule: transfer RNA, 73 nt
Filed under: Stegodyphus mimosarum
Lineage: Eukaryota; Metazoa; Arthropoda; Arachnida; Araneae; Eresidae
Rfam family: tRNA
About the family: Transfer RNA (tRNA) molecules are approximately 80 nucleotides in length. Their secondary structure includes four short double-helical elements and three loops (D, anti-codon, and T loops).
Source: Rfam by way of RNAcentral